RNAcentral lists this ribosomal RNA (254 nucleotides) under uncultured bacterium. RNAcentral describes it as "partial 16S ribosomal RNA". It matches the Rfam family "Bacterial small subunit ribosomal RNA", at positions 524 to 776 of the family's 1533-position model. The record is from RNAcentral.
UACGGAGGGUGCAAGCGUUAUCCGGAUUUACUGGGUUUAAAGGGUGCGUAGGCUGUUUAGUAAGUCUGUUGUGAAAGACGCCGGCUUAACCGGACGAACUGCACUGGAUACUGCUAGACUUGAAUCAGGUUUAGGUGGGCGGAAUGCGACAUGUAGCGGUGAAAUGCUCAGAUAUGUCGUGGAACACCGAUUGCGAAGGCAGCUCACUGGGCCUUGAUUGACGCUGAGGCACGAAAGCGUGGGGAGCAAACAGG